This 253-nucleotide ribosomal RNA is filed under the name uncultured bacterium. Its description in RNAcentral is "partial 16S ribosomal RNA". It matches the Rfam family "Bacterial small subunit ribosomal RNA", at positions 524 to 776 of the family's 1533-position model. The record is from RNAcentral.
UACGUAGGGUCCGAGCGUUGUCCGGAAUCAUUGGGCGUAAAGGGCUCGUAGGCGGUUUGUUGCGUCGGGAGUGAAAUCUUACAGCUUAACUGUGAACUUGCUUUCGAUACGGGCAGACUUGAGGCAUUCAGGGGAGAACGGAAUUCCUGGUGUAGCGGUGAAAUGCGCAGAUAUCAGGAGGAACACCGGUGGCGAAGGCGGUUCUCUGGGAAUGUCCUGACGCUGAUGCGCGAAAGCCAGGGGAGCAAACGGG